This 253-nucleotide ribosomal RNA is filed under the name uncultured bacterium. Its description in RNAcentral is "partial 16S ribosomal RNA". It matches the Rfam family "Bacterial small subunit ribosomal RNA", at positions 524 to 776 of the family's 1533-position model. The record is from RNAcentral.
UACAGAGGGUGCGAGCGUUAAUCGGAAUUACUGGGCGUAAAGCGCACGUAGUCGACUUUGCAAGUCGGGUGUGAAAUCCCCGGGCUCAACCUGGGAACUGCAUCCGAGACUGCAUUGCUAGAGUAUGGGAGAGGGAAGCGGAAUUUCUGGUGUAGCAGUGAAAUGCGUAGAUAUCAGAAGGAACAUCAGUGGCGAAGGCGGCUUCCUGGACUCAUACUGACACUGAGGUGCGAAAGCGUGGGGAGCAAACAGG